UUGUGUCCGAAUCCGAGUUCAGACUGUCCAACGAAAAGCGAUGAGUUUACGUUACCGAAUAGAUUGUCCAACGAAAAGCGAUGAUUAAUAGGCAGUAUUGACACAGAGGAUUCUGUUGGGGAAAAAUAAGUCGCUCCAAAAUAUAAGGGCACGCGGUCGGCACGUACCUAAAGAUGCCUGAUUUGGAGCCGACCAAAAGAUGCUCGAUCUGGAGGCGCCCGACCAGAAGGCGCCCGGCCAGGCGCCCGACCAGAAAGCACCCGACCUAGAGGCGUCCGACCA
This 282-nucleotide long non-coding RNA is filed under the name Phoenix dactylifera (date palm). Its description in RNAcentral is "long non-coding RNA (PDAC_LNC007396)". The record is from RNAcentral. Lineage: Eukaryota; Viridiplantae; Streptophyta; Magnoliopsida; Arecales; Arecaceae.